This 74-nucleotide transfer RNA is filed under the name compost metagenome. Its description in RNAcentral is "tRNA-Trp". It matches the Rfam family "tRNA". From Rfam's summary of the family: Transfer RNA (tRNA) molecules are approximately 80 nucleotides in length. The record is from RNAcentral.
GUACCUGUAGUGUUAAUGUAGCACGACGGUCUCCAAAACCGUUAGUCAGGGUUCGAGUCCCUGCGGGUAUGCCA